CUGUUUCAUAAAAGAGCAAAACUAGGUUUUUAGAAUUAUUUGGAUUACAUACUCGGGUUAAUCGGACAGCUAAAGGGUGGAUUUGUAAGUGUAAAUAUUUAUCCAUAAACAAUGAGUAUCCCUUGAGUAUUAGUUUGUAAUAAUUGAUUAAAUAAAAGCAGGCGUAAAGUGUUGAAUAAUAAGCACAGUUGAAAUUUUAUUGAUGUAGAGUGAUGUCAUGAGUAAAGAUAAAGGCAUAAUUAUUGUUGACAGAGUUUAUUUGCGUGUGUUAUAUGUGCUCAUCAUGGUGACUCCAAGAAACGAGAUAUUAAUUCAUGUUUUUGGUGCUCUGCUGCCAUCUAGUGCCAGAGGAUCAGCAGAGCAUUUAAAUCAUACAAGUAUUUGUCACUGGCAAGUUCACCGUUUCAAAACUUUACUAUACAAAUAAGACUCAUCAUGUGGUUUGCACAACAGUGCUCUAUGUGUACCAAAAUGUAAAUACUUUUUUUUUUUUUUAUCAUUUUGACAAAAUAUUUAUUGAAUAACAGUCUUCACAAUUAAGACAGCAUUAAUUUUUCACUAGUUUUCUACCACUAGCCAUACUAUAUAUCUCUACAGCCCAAUCUGCACAUGUUUAUGUACUUUGUAUCAAAAUUUCUUAUAUUGCUAUAUUGUCUUAUAUUGUUGAGUAUCAUAUAUUGAAUAUUUUUGUGGCUGUUGUGGAAUUCGGUCAUGGCUACAGGACAUUCUCCAAGUACGUCAACAUACAAAAUCAAAUAAAUGCUCUCGAGCCAUUACAUGGGCACUUUAAAAAAAAAAAAAAAAAACUUGGUUAGAGAUGCCACGAGGUAGGUGGCAGUGCCUUAACCGUAUAUGUGUUGCAGGCCACUAGGACCUCUUCCAUCCUUGUCAAGGGGAGUGCUAACCUUCUCUCCUUUCAUACAACACAUUGAGGAAGCCUCCUUCCACAGUAUAUAAAGGUUGUAAUAGGAAUGAAUGUCGACAUGACGGUAGGUUUUUCUACCAAAAAUAAAGUCAUUACUUGUUCCAAGACAUAAUACAAAACAAACUUAAUAAUACAAUAAACAGAAUUAUAUAUGUCAAAUGUAGGAGUCACCUUUUGUUUAUUUGCAAGGACGAAAAACGUUAAACUAUUUCUGCGCCGCAAUGCAUUACUUAUUUGCAUAGAAAGUCUUUAAGCCAAUCACAUUGAGGAAGCGCAUGACGUUGCAUGAUGUUUCCGGAAGUAAACUUGCGUCCACCUCCAAGUCAGCAGUUUAGUGACGUUGUCGACCUACAGCCCUAUUGUGCGCGAGUGAUCGAGGGGUAGAGGGUGUAAGAGAGGAUUUGGGGAAACUCCUCAAAACUUCCAUCACACGCGUUGCAUUACUCGUUCGAACCAGGGAGGGUAUUCCUGAAUGCAGGGUCAUAGACACAGGGUAUGUUUCAGCCAGCUCUAUAGUUAGGGCACUGAUCAGGGAGUCGGCCAUUUUACGGACUAUCUCAAUUGUAAAAUCAUUCCAGUGCACUGUAACGUUCGCUCCCUAAAAUAAUCCCACAAUGCACCACAGAAACCCAGCGGACCGAUGCUCACUGUGUCCCCCUACUGGAAAUGAUCAUGUUUUCUGGAAAAGAUGGAGGAUGAACUCUCAGCCAACUUCCGGCAACAAUUGACUUUUAGUAUCGCACCUCCAGAGACACACAGACCUUCUCGAAUGUGCACAAGAAUGCUAGUGUCUUCCCUCACCUCAGCAACUGAGAAAUGCAUCAAAAUUAAUCAAGAGGAACUUCAUCAUGCAGCAAGACAACGAUUCAAAACACACUGCCAACUCAACAAAGGACUUUGUUGGGGGGAAAAAGUGGAAGGUUUUAGACUGGCCAAGUCAGUCACCUGACCUUAACCCAAUUGAGUAUGCAUUUCACCUCCUGAAGAGCAGACUGAGUUUUUGGGGGAAACCCCCCCAAAACAAACCACAACUGAAAGAAGCUGCAGCGAAAUCCUAGAAAAACAACAGAAAAGAAGAAACCAACAAUUUGGUGAUGUCAGGAAGUCACAGGCUUGAUGCGAUUACUGCAAGCAAGGGAUAUGCACCCAAAUAUUAAGUGUUAUUUACUUUAAUUUACUUUGGUGUUUGGUGUGUACCACAACAAUGAAUUGGCCUUACCAUUCCAAUAGUUUUGGAGCGGACUGUAACUACUUUAUAUUUAUGUGACGUUUAUUCUUAGCUCUAAUGUCUAGAUUGUCUGGUAAUGAUUUUCUACCCUAACAGUAGGCAACUUUUUUCCUUAAUCAUAGGCAAAUCUCAUGUUAUGUGUUUGUCUAUUAAGCACCAGGACAUACAUUCAUGUAUUUCCUGUGUAUAUUUAAUUGGCACACUUAACACAAUAUAAAGUAUUCAGUUCUCUGAAAUACAAGCGUAACAAUUAGAACACAAAUGACAAUGAAAAAGUACAAAACACAAUAGGAGAUGAUGGGAGAAAAAAAUACUUGCUUAGCUGAGCAGAGAAAGUACAAUUUCAGAACAUUUUAUUAUUAAUCCACAGCUUAAAAAUAGACUUUUCCUCUUUAUUAUUUCCAUAAUUCACUCUUAUUUAUAGAUUCCUAUAUAUGUCUACUGAUUUGGAGCCGGUGUGGCACUCUUUACAGCAGAGCCAGAUUUGUGUGUGUGUGUGUGAGUGUGUGUGUGUGUGUGUGUGUGAGAGAGAGAGAGAGAGCAUGUGUGAAAUUGCAGGGAGGUUUUGCAAUAAUCAGAUGUUUUCAGGCAUCAUGAAUAUUUUCUUGCUUCAUAUUUACAGCUCAUUUUAUCAUUAUUGUAGGUCAGUUCAGUAUCCUGUAAUUACAACGUAAAACAACAAAAACCUCGUUAAUGGAACAAGACAUUUUUAACAAGAUUCU
Ictalurus furcatus (blue catfish) is the source of this 2875-nucleotide long non-coding RNA. RefSeq lists it as uncharacterized. The record is from RefSeq and is a predicted model, not a curated record. The transcript has 3 exons. NCBI's taxonomy places the organism in Eukaryota, Metazoa, Chordata, Actinopteri, Siluriformes, Ictaluridae.